UCCUGUAAGGUACAACUCAAGUUUCACGUCGCAUUUAAACGCGGGGGUGACCCUUAGCCAUUAUGCCCUUCUUAAAGGGAAUUUUCACCGUCUCUCCCACUGGCCGACAAUGUGGUACUGGAAACCGUGGUCUCCUGUGUCCACUGGGACAGGAUGCCCCCAAACCAGUUCUCUGUUUCUCUCACUCACGGAGGGCAGGUCAGGACCACGUGGCGAGGACCAAGCCCCAGCGAGUCCUGGUGAGGACGGGGCAGCCAGCAGGCGCUUCCCCACACCAGCCAGCAGGUGACAGACAAGCCAGGAGGGACGGGAAGGUGUCACCACUGACAGCCGCCAGAGACUCACAUCGACGGACACAAACGACAGGACCCCGGUUCCAAAGGAGCAAAGGAUAUAACCACACGAUUCCCGAAGAUCUGACCCAGACGCACAAGCACUUUGGGAAGGUGUCCACAUUGCCAAGCAGUGGAGGAAACGCAGGUGAAAAGGACAACGGAACCGGACGCACUCGGUGACCGCGGGAACGGGUUUGAUUAAAGCAGCCGGCGCUGGCGAAAAACCACAAAUAUGCGCACGCCGUGGCCCUGCCCUGGGGCCAAGCCCGCGACGCAGCACUCGUGCACGCGCCAUCACUGUCCAGCAACGGGACGGUGCGGCUGGAGGUCCCUGCCCCGUGAGGGGGCAGCCGAGGUAAGAGAUGCACGGGGGAGGAGGGCACUUAAGAUCAGGCACAUACAGCACUGUGGUCACGAGUUUGGGCAAAGCUCUGUGUGAAUGGGGUGAACAAACGUGCAAAUACACGAUCUACACCCACACCAGGUGUUCCUUUCAAUACAGAAAUGCGAUCGGAACGGGCUUGCUCUGCAGUGUGCCCUUUCCCUCCGCAUAGGGGCCUUUCACGGCCCGCACAGCGUUCCUUCCCACAGCGGUGGAGGCCCUGGCCCCACAGCUUCCACGGCGUCACCGGCCCCAGGGCUCCAGGGUGCACUUCCUAGGAGGCUGAGGGCUGAGGGCCAGCAUCCCUGGGCGACCUGGUGAUCUGCAGCUCCCUCCCUAUGUGUGUGUGUGUGUGCACGCGCACGUGUGUGUAUAUUCUGGAUACCAGACCCUUGGUAACUACGCGUCAAAUCUUUCUCCUAGGACAACACUCGAUUUUUAACUUGAUGGUACCUUUUCUCGCUCAAAACUUGCCCAGUUUUACACAACUGAUUUUGUUAAUCCUUCGCUUUAUGCGUUCGGGGUCUUCGACUAGCCUCGCACAGCCUUCUCUAACCCCUAAGUUACACAAGAGACCUCCGGUGUUUCCUGGCUCCUUACAGCAUCUGGAAGAUCUCCUCUUGUGAGUGCAGUGAGGGGGCACCAUUGCCCAGAGGUCUGUCGUCCGCCGCCCCGUCACUUGCCGCUGAGACUGGGCCACACCGUUCACGGGAACGCCACAGAGCGUGAGUGAGCGCCGUUCAGUCCUGCAGGCUUCGCCGUCUGCGUGGGCUCUAGAUGGCCCAUCGACAUUUACUUUUAUAAUUUUUUUUAACGUUUGUAUUUAUUUUCGAGAGAGAGAGACAGAGUGCUCUGCGGGUGCAGAGAGAGAGGGCGACACAGAAUCCAAAACAGGCUCCAGGCUCCGAGCUGUCAGCACAGAGCCCGACGCGGGGCUCAAACCCACGAGCUGUGAGAUCAUGACCUGAGCCGAAGUCGGACGCUUAACCGACUGAGCCACCCAGGCGCCCCCACGUUUACUUUAAAUUGUUAAUAUUCGCGUGGAGAUCAUGGCAAUUUGACGUUUGGGAAGACGCACAUUGUGACAUUUCCUCUCAACCAGAAACGGAGCCGUGUCUCGUUCAUUCAUGUCCUCUCACGUGUCCCGCGGGAGAGCUGUCGCCAGUGUUUCCGCGUGUGCGGGGGGGACCCGACGCCGGUGUGCAGGUCGUCCAUGAGCCUUCCCCCGUGCCGCUGUGUCCGGGGUCAGGAGCAGCAGCCACAGCAUCUUGUCUCCUUCCUGAGCCGUCUCAGGCCGAGAGUCUGGGACAGAUUUUCACAGCUUCACCAAACUGGAAGAAACUCCCUUCUUUUCCCGGUUUCCGAGCGUUCAGGGAGCGGGGCUUACACAGCCUCAGAGGAUUCCGCGGCACUCGUUAAGGGCCCCCCUCCCUCCGCCUCGGAGGCGGACGCAUGGCAGACCGGCUCCCCCAGCCUCUCCUGGCCUCCCUGUUGCCGCACGAGGGAUGUGGCGCCGGGCACGCGCUCUGCACGAAGGGGUCCUUGCCGCCAUCGAGGCCUUCCUUUGAGCCCCCGGACGUGGUGGGGCCGGAGUCCGACCUGCCCCGCACACGACUUUACACUCCAGCUUUCAGAAUCUUUCUUUCUACGGACAGCAGAGAAGCAGGCUUUGCUUUACGGACCACUUGGGGCAUCUUUAAACAGGUGAGUUAAUUCAAUUCCCUGUUUACAGAUAGGACGAUAGGCCGUGCACAAGUCUAACCUACCAGCCCGUUGUUUGCAUGCAGGCCUCUUAAGCCUUUCACCGCAAAGUUUAAGGCGGAUUUCGUUACAAUUUUCCCGUCCUGUUGGCAAUUUGGAGUUUUGUCCUCCCGACCACCCUUUAUAAGCAGCCCGGCAUCUCCAGCCGUGUGUGGCACCCACGGGUCUGCCACCAUGGCCUCAGUGACCCCCACCUCGCCAGCACCGCUCGGCCACCUUCGCUCUCCCUCCGGGAGUUACCGGCUCCGAUCCCCGGCUCCCACCAGAGGUGACCUGGGCUGCCCUUCCCUGUGUUGGGCACGAUACCCCAAGCACGCUGUGCUCCCGGACAGUCUCCUGGCUCCGCGCCUCACACUCGAGCCUCUUACCCUGUAGCCGCUGCCCCUGACGAACCGCUCAGCUGGCCGCAGGGUCUCUGGUCUCUGGCCCUCUCUUCUCCUGAACACCGUGUGGGAGCUGACCCUCUGUGCUCAGGCGCGGAGCUCUGUGUCCACAGCUGGCAAGCCGGCCUCCUUCUCUUCCCUGGUAUGCAAUUCAGUGUCUUCGUCUGGCUACCAGAGGGUUUUGUCACACCCAUAAUUUUGAUACAGUAUUUACUACGCUGGCCAUUCUGGAUGGAUUUCCCGGAAACACAGCACCGUCUUCACCUCCUUCCGGUGUCCGGAGCGCCCGCGGUCACGCAGAGACUGUCCUCGGCCCGUGCCCGGUGUUGUGCUGGUCUCGUCCUUCCCCGCUCUCUCCCCACCGCAUCCUGCUCGGUCCCCGCGUCUGUCCCACGUCUGCCCCGCGCUCCCACGCGCUCCGGGCAGCUGAAGCUUCUGCUGGGAGAUGCCGGUCUCCUCCUGUUCCACCCCACGCCCCCUGCGUUCCCGACUCAGCUCUGCCUGCCGUCUGGCCGCCUCUGACUCCUCACUCUCUCAAGUCCAGUGCUUCGUGACAGCAGCCGUCCCAGUGGCGUCUCUCCACCACAGGCGGCUUCUGUGGUUCCUUCACCACCCCGCGUGGAGGGCGCCGGGGCUCCGCAGCAGCUGGACUCGGGGAGUGUGCGCCACGCGCUCUGUCUCGGGCACCUUGUCGGUCUCUCUCGGAAGACGGCCCUUCCCGAGCCCGUCACUCCUGCCUCCCAGGAGCCCCCACACCUCCCGUCUCCGCUGCCCCCUUCCGAGACUCAGUGCUGCUGCCCAGCAGGUGCCACCUGCAGAUGGCUCUUCGUCUCCUCUGACAGAGGCACUUCCAGGCUGACGGCCUGUCUGUCCCCAGCCCCACCGAAGACGUACUCCAUAUACUUUUUGUUGCUGUUGCUCUGGGAGCGAGCAGCCACCCUCUCCUACCACAGUCCUACGUGUAUUUUAAUGUUUACAGGUUCCUGUUGCCGCACCGUGGGUCCACUCCUGUCUCCCGUUUUCUUCAUUGACCUUCUUUUAAGAUCUCUCCAAGCUGUUAGAUACGCAUGGAGUUCCUGGGUCUCCUCCACCCCCACAACUGCACCCAGUAAGCAGGGGAGUGAGGACCCUACUAAGGCCUCCUCCCUGGCUGCUGUGGCUAUUCAAAGUCUACCUUAUCUGAUGCUAAUGUACUACGAACAGCCUUCUCUGCACUAGCCUUUACUAAGUUUUUAAUUUUCUAGUACACUUACAAGCUUUCUGCUUCCUUUUUUUGUUUAAUUUUUUAAAGUAAUCUCCACACCCAACAUGGGGCUUGAACUCAUGACCCCGAGAUCAGAGAGGCCCGUACUCCACAGACUGAGCCGGCCAGGCACCCCUCUGGUUCAUUCUUAAUACAUAAGUCACAGAGCUUCAGAUCAGAUUCCUGGGGCGCCUGGGUGGCUCGGUCGGUUAAGCGUCCGACUUCGGCUCAGGUCAUGAUCUCGCGCUCUGUGAGUUCCAGCCCCGCGUCGGGCUCUGUGCUGACAGCUCAGAGCCUGGAGCCUGCUUCGGAUUCUGUGUCUCCCUCUCUCUCUGGCCCUCCCCCGUUCAUGCUGUCUGUCUCAAAAAUAAACGUAAAAAAAAAAUUUUUUUUUUAAAAAUCAGGUUCCAGUAUUUUAGCCAGUCUAAACCUUAGUCUUAUAAAUUAAGCCAUUUACAUUUAUUGUGAUCAUUGCCACACGUGUAUUUUUGUGUCCCGUGCAUGGUUUUUUGUUUUUAAGAGAGAAAAAACAGAGGAGAUGGGUAGAAGGAGAGAGAGAGAGAGAGAGAGAGAGAGAGAGAGAGAGAGACAGAGAGGCCCAAACAGCCUCCACAUUCAUUGUGGAGCCUGAUGCAGGGCUUGAACCCACAACUCUGGGAUCGUGACCUGAGCUGAAAUCACGAGUUGGACACACAACCAGCUGAGCUAAACCCGUGCUUUCUAAUUACCCUCUUUUCUCUUUUCACCUCCCUCCUACCUCACUGUCUGCUUUCCUCAUGCUCCUUUCCACUCAGUCGACGACUUGGAAGUCACACCUUCUGUUUCUACUCAUUUAGUAAUUUUCAGUGUAGCUUUAACAUGUAUACUUUGCCAAAGUGGAAAGCUGGUGAGACCUCACCCCUGCAUCCACACAAAACAAGCAGCUCGCAAUGGCUCCGUGCCACCACUUCUAACCCCUCUGGGGCCGUCAGCCUGCCCUGCCCCUGACACCACAGCCCCUCCUGCCCAGCAAUCACCACCGUGGUUCCCACGGUGCCAGGCGGCCAGACCCGUACAGGUGUGCCCACUGUGGAUUCGCAUGCACACCACACCUGCUUGCGUCUCGCAGGUCACUUCUGAAGCUCACUCUGCUUCCUCGGUGGUGCCCGACUGUGGAGCGGGGGCUACCACCUGCCACUCUGUGCCGUGUCUUCUGGCCGCGGGUCACACGUGGAGGAGUCUGUCUGGCUGUCGCUCCUCUCUCUGCCACUUGCAGUCUCUGGCGUCCCUGCUACAUGUCUUUGCUACGUUUGGGUGUUUUUUUUUUUAAUAGCAUCUCUAGGUAUACGUUUAUUUUUAGUUAUGCUAUUCAAAACUUGGGUCAGUUUCCAUCAGAUUCUAGAAAAUCCUUUUGCCACAUGACCCUUCCCCCAUUCUCUCGUCUUUCCUUCUGGAGCAUCUGAACACGUCUGCCUUCUGCGUCUCCCGGCCUCUCCGACAAAGUUUUCAUCUUCCCUUCCCGUGCCACGGCCGACAGCCUCUCUGGUCCCGGCUUCCGCUCCGGCCAUCUGCCCUGUGGCUGCCCAGUGUCUCCUCAGCCGCCUUCUGGGCUCAUCUCGACGACUGCGUGUUAGCUCUUGGCGUGAGGCGUGAUCGCCACGUCUCCUUUAAUGGCUUCGGCCGUUUCUCACACGCUCACUUAAGACGCGGUGCCAGACUUCAGUCUUACUACUUCCGGCUCUCACCAAAAGCUGAGACUUCGUGAAGGUCCUGCUUAAGGACAUCUUGUUCCACGGCCCCGUAAGCGCUGAAGUGGGACUCGCGCUCUUUUUAUGGCAAGGACGUGACGUGAGGAAGAAAAGCAGAAUGCUACGGCCGACGCCCGUACCUCUCACCCGGACACGCCGCCUACUGACACUUUCGCACGUCUGCUUUCUCCUCGUCACCUAGCCCGCAGAGGUGCCCGCGCACACGCUCCUUCCCUCGCCCUCUGCCAGUGAGUUCCUCGGACACGUCAACGCUGUCCUCCCGAGGAGCUCCCUGUGCAGACACUUAGCCAUCAGGGACGGCACCGUGUCCACAGUGGGGUUUCCUGCACGGUCUCCAGGGGGUCCCGUCCGGCAUCCCAGCCCCAGGGUCUAGGGUCCCAGCGGGAAGCGCAUGGACCGCGGCAUCUGCCUCGCCUCCUCAUGGUGGGGCCGCGGCCUCCCUGGGGAUGACCCUGCGAGGUCCCUGGGACCAUCCUAACCUGGUGCGUGAUCAUCUACCUAGUUUCCGGCCAUCCUUCGCGGUAGCCACCCGCUCCUGCUGGACAACGGCCUCAAGGCCGAGCAGCGGACACGAGCCUCGUGACUGCCUUCCCCACGCACGGCGCUCGGGCACCACAGAGGCCGCCCCUGGGGUCAGAGCAGCCCUCCGCGCACACACCCGGGAAGGGCCGUCCUGGCGGGCGGGAGCCAACCUGUGAGCGUCCCGGAUGCACCUUCUUCCGUUCACCCCCACCGGCAAACGGGCGGUGUGGCCCCUGCUCCGAGGACAUCGGUCCCUCUGGCCGACGUAUCCUGCGAACUGCACACCUGGGCUGUGCGGCCGAAAACGUGUAACUCUCCUCAUCUUUUCUCCUCUUUUCACCGACCCUCGGUCCGGCCUGUUUGGUACUUUGUGCACGCACCAGCGGACGCACGCGGCCCCAGGACGCCCUCACGCAGACAGGCCCUCAGGCAGCUGCCGGAAGACGCCGUGCCCCUCAGGAGAAAACGCAUAAACGUCUGAAGACCGGGCCACGCGGACGGGACCACAGACAGGCCUGUGGCCCCGGGGCACAGAGCAGCACACGGCCCGUGGGGAGCUGGCAGCACUACCUUGUCUAUGGUGAGCAUGUAGAAGUGUGUGAUGUCGUUCUCGUGUGCGUGUUUGAUCCUCGCCAUGCACUCCUCCUCGUCAAUCAGCUCACCGACGUACUCGUUCACGAACUCUCCCUGGAAGGCGGAACAGCAGACCGUGACCGUGGUAAACAACGGGGUCCGGGUGCAGGAGCCCGCGCCCGAAGCGCCCGGAGCCGGCACCGCGCGCGCGUCACGAUGCGGUCCGGGGCGCGUCUUCCCAAGUCCCUGGAAGUUCAGGUCUACCUCAACGACUCCAUACUCGGCUCUCAGGGAACAGUUCACCCGAGCCUCCUUCCCAAAGCGGCACCCUAACUCUCGCUUCCUGCAGCAACUGCCUCUGGACACCCUGGCGGCACACCCCGAGGUCCCACACGGCCGGCUGCCACGGCUCGCCUUCCCUAGCAGAGUCUACACGGCGAGAGCCCGGAGGAACUGGCCGCCGAGGCGGGCGGUGGAACCAGACCCGCAGGGGCCGUGCGCGUUUCCGAGCCGCUGCUCUCGCCCGGGAUCGGCCCCGAACCAGACCUGGGGUCUGAGGCCGCCGCCGCCCCCCCAGGCCACAGCCUGGCCUCAUAAGCCAAUUCCGGCUGCCUCUCUACUUCCGGCUGCCCAGCCUAGGACAUGGGCAGGCCGUGUGUGGCCUGUGGCCUUGACGGACGACCUGGUCCCGCGCUGCCCCGGACGGAACGGCCGCCCAUCCAGGGCAGGGCUCCUUCACAGUCUUUCCUGUCAUAGAGCAACCACCAAAAUGCCAAGUGGAGGCCAAGUCAGGGGCCUGCUGAGUUUUACUUCGCUAGACAGCACGCACGUAACGUUUUACGACAUUCAACAGUAGUAACUCAGACUUUUUAAAAACCCCGUUCUUACGUGCGUGCAAAAGCGUACUAAGCAUAUCCAAGCGUAAACCGCCAGCCGGCCCAGGAUUUCUUGCAAGCAAGGAAAGGGGCUCGGCACACACCUUUCUGAUGUCCCGCUUGGCAACCAGGCCCCACCCUUUGCCGUCGGUCUUGAUGAUCUUGGUCUCGGGGUACUGGCGCUUGGUGAAGCACUGAUUCUGGCAGUACUCGCCCGCAGGGCACACCUGCGGGUGGCACUCGAACAUCAGCAUCCGGUUCAGACACUCGGAGUCGAAGCCGCAGGGGUUCUCGUCGGUGGGCUUACAGUUGCACUUGGGGAUCUCAGAGAUGUCGGCCGUGUGGAUCUGGACUUUCCCAUAGGGCUUGUUCACCUGCCGGGGACACGGGGGCGCGUCAGACAAGAGAGCAAGCACCCCGGCCUCCCGCCGGUCCCCACGCUCCAGAGGAGGGUGGCAGGGGGGCAUGGCCCCCCCUCCCCCCGCCCGUCAUUUCACAUCCCUCGUCCACGCUUGCCCCGCCAGGCUUCCAGAAGACAGGCACACAAGCACGUGCUGAGCACAGGGCAGGGUCCCUGUAGCCGGGGACCCGCAGGCAGGUGACCAGGGAGGCUCUGCCCUGGCAAACUCGCGGUUCACGGUGACAGCACAAGAGCAACCCAACCACAAAGCCACAGACAGAGGGGAAGAGGGACUGAAGCAGAGGCCAGUAAGGCGAGGGGAAACGUGGCGGAACAGAAGCCUCCUCACUGCUGGGCCGCGACAGCAAAACACAGAAGCGCGAUCUGAAAACCCGCCUCAGGAGCCCUCAGGUCCCAAGCUGUUUGACCCAGGAGCGCCAUUUCCACGAAGUCAUCCCUGAGGAAACACUAGCCCCAGAGAACGUGUCACCUGCACAUGCACACACAGGGCGCGCCGCCCGGAUCUGAGGAGCAAAGACGCGGCCUUGAGCGGCCAGAAGGCAGCUGACACACCGUGUUGAGAGGCUGCCGGGCCCCAGGCGGCAGGACACGGUGACAUCGGCUCACCCAGCGUGGCUGUGAGGAGCUCCUGGACCUCUCUCCCUCCCACCCCGUGGGGACGUGGGGACCCAGGUUCCCUGCCGGGACUGCCGGGCUCGCCGGAGGCAGCACGGCCGCCCCCGCAGUCCUUGUGCGGCAUCCACACCCUCUACGGCGGGAACAUCGCUUUGUCUCCAGGGCUCUGGCUGACUAGGCCACGUUCCAGCCGAGCACCGGCCCGGGCUGGCCACCUCUCAUCCAAGCUCGUCCCCAGCGCCGGGUGACGACGGCGUGCCCGCCACCACCCCAGUGCCUCACGGGCCCCCGGCUGGAGCCUCACAAGGGCAAAACCCAAAACCGCGGAGACCCCCCCCCCCCAGCCCUGCCUGCACGCCCUCCCCGCCCCCCAGAAAGGACACACGCUGGGCAGUGGCCGCACCUGCUCUCUGCCCGUGACCUCAGGCAGCGGUCCACACGGGGGCUACAGACAGAUGCUUGCUCACGGCAGCCCUCUUACCCACCGCGGCCGGAGGGCCCACCCACGGUCCCCGCAGUGACCCCUGACCCGGCCCCCCACCCCCGUCACCUUAAUGUGCUUGUACGGCGGGGGCUUGCGCUCACUCUCCUGCGUUUCUCUGGCUUCCCUUUGAAGUUUGAUUUCACGAAAACGAGCUUCAGCUUCCUGCAGUGCUAAAAAGUCCACGAAAUGUGAGCGUGAGUAAGAGGUUUAGUAAAUUCACACCUCCACCUACA
This is a long non-coding RNA of Felis catus (domestic cat), 9575 nucleotides long. RefSeq lists it as uncharacterized. Lineage: Eukaryota; Metazoa; Chordata; Mammalia; Carnivora; Felidae. The transcript is spliced from 3 exons. The record is from RefSeq and is a predicted model, not a curated record.